Mercenaria mercenaria is the source of this 1160-nucleotide long non-coding RNA. RefSeq lists it as uncharacterized. The record is from RefSeq and is a predicted model, not a curated record. NCBI's taxonomy places the organism in Eukaryota, Metazoa, Mollusca, Bivalvia, Venerida, Veneridae. The transcript is spliced from 2 exons.
UUGGGAAAUAACCUUCCUGUAUUAAGUGGACAGCGGAUGCACAGCCUUAUAAAAGUGUUUGCGUCUAACGUCUCAAUCAUAUUGUUUAAACAACGUUGACAACGCAUUAUCGAAAGAAAAACAAUAUUUAUUUUAUUUAUUUUGUUGGGUUUAAAGUCGCACCGACACAAAGAAAAACAAUAAGCUGAAGAUAUCUAUUGUCAUGCAAACUAGAGCCAUCGUUUACUUACUGAUAAGCCUUAUAGUCCUACAAAUGAUGUUAGAAACUGCUGGUCGGCCACAUAUGAACUGUUGCAGGUUUAGAAGAUGUCCACGAGGAAAAAGAUGCGUUAAUAUUGGCUCUCGAUGUCGUUGCAAGAGCAACCGGGUUAUUACGGACUUUUUCGACAUGCUUAAACGACCUACAAAAAGACCAAGAUAUCUACACAAGUACUAGAACUCUCAGACCGAACUAAUGAUAUCGGUCUUUUCAACUGUGAUAAUGAAAUUAUAUAUAUAGUACUGUGUUGUAAGCUCGUCGCACCAAUAUUGGAGGCAGUAUGCUCUGGUCUAGUCACGCUAUACAUUAAGACUGCGUGGUAAAUAGAGUUCACUGAGAUGCGAGCUUUGCUCGUACGAUAUCUACAUGAACUGAGAUGACAUUGUGAUCUCUACACCCUUUGCGAUGUGAUAAAAAGAUUUUUCGCUGUGGUAAAACAAACAUGAAUUCUGCACGCCAUGUUUUCAGAAUGAAAUAUUCUGUCUGCGAUAUAUGAGGUCCGAAAGUUCUCUACUGUUAUAUGUGCACUUCAUACUUCGAUAACAUGAAAGUCAAACACAAGAAGGGUGUUAAUUCAUCAAAAAUGCGAUAUUUAUCAAUUCUAGACAUUCGAAGAAUGAUAAACCUGCCAUUGUAGUACAUUACAUCCUCUAGUCCCUAGUAUAGUCACUGUGACGUUUAACUGUCUUUACUUGCUGGAUAAUUUUACAUAUCUUUUAAAUGAAAAUAUUUGUAAUUAUACAUUUUACUUACUGUUGUGUGUUUUACAUUAAUGUACAGCUGGUCAGUAUAUGAUUUAUUUUUUAAAUCAAUUUUGAGUAUAUUUUAAUGUGUCAAUUCUGUUUUACAUAUUUUCGUCAGUCUUUACAGUAUUAUACCUUAAUUAAAAUUUUUACCUUAA